RNAcentral lists this long non-coding RNA (428 nucleotides) under Panax ginseng (ginseng). RNAcentral's name for it is "long non-coding RNA (PGIN_LNC009519)". Lineage: Eukaryota; Viridiplantae; Streptophyta; Magnoliopsida; Apiales; Araliaceae. The record is from RNAcentral.
AAUAAUAUCAUUACGAAAAAAUAAUAUCCCUUACCUCGGAAAGACAGUACUUCUAACUGGAAUACUGGAUAUAAGCUAUAACUUGAACUUGCACCGUAUAGCAAUACUCAAAGUAUACUCAAAAUACUCACAAGAAUACGCUCGAUAAUAUAGAGAGAGAAAACUUUAAUUUCUGGUGUGAUUUUCAAUUCUAACCUAAGCACCCUAUUUAUAGGAAAAUACUUAGAACACCAAAGCAGAAAAUUUAAUAAAAUAUUAAUAUAUAUUUAUUAAAUUCCUACGCACCCAAAAUCUGAUUCAAACCAUCAGCCACCAAGAGUGACUCACAUUGCCUAACUAAAAAAACGUUUUUCUUAUUAAAAAUAUUUAAAACUUCAAAAAUUAAUUAUUUCGGAGCUUCAGAACUUCAAUAAUUCACAAUAAAUAGC